UACGUAGGGGGCAAGCGUUAUCCGGAUUUAUUGGGCGUAAAGCGUGCGCAGGCGGCUUAUUAAGUCUAAGAUUAAAGCCCGGAGCUUAACUCCGGUUCGUCUUAGAAACUGGUAGGCUUGAGUAUGGUAGAGGCAAACGGAAUUCCUAGUGUAGCGGUGGAAUGCGUAGAUAUUAGGAGGAACACCAGUGGCGAAGGCGGUUUGCUGGGCCAUUACUGACGCUCAUGCACGAAAGCGUGGGGAGCAAAUAGG
RNAcentral lists this ribosomal RNA (252 nucleotides) under uncultured bacterium. RNAcentral describes it as "partial 16S ribosomal RNA". It matches the Rfam family "Bacterial small subunit ribosomal RNA", at positions 524 to 776 of the family's 1533-position model. The record is from RNAcentral.